Molecule: ribosomal RNA, 253 nt
Filed under: uncultured bacterium
Lineage: Bacteria
Description: partial 16S ribosomal RNA
Rfam family: Bacterial small subunit ribosomal RNA
Source: RNAcentral
UACGUAGGGGGCAAGCGUUGUCCGGAUUUACUGGGCGUAAAGAGCGCGCAGGCGGUCGUUCAAGUCGAGUGUGAAAGCCCCCGGCUCAACUGGGGAGGGUCAUUCGAUACUGAUCGACUGGAAGGCAGGAGAGGGAAGCGGAAUUCCCGGUGUAGUGGUGAAACGCGUAGAUAUUGGGAGGAACACCAGUGGCGCAAGCGGCUAUCUGGACUGACAUUGACGCUGAGGCACGAAAGCGUGGGGAUCAAACAGG